GAUGAACGCUGGCGGCGUGCCUAAUACAUGCCAGUCGAGCGAACGGACGAGAAGCUUGCUUCUCUGAUGUUAGCGGCGGACGGGUGAGUAACACGUGGAUAACCUACCUAUAAGACUGGGAUAACUUCGGGAAACCGGAGCUAAUACCGGAUAAUAUUUUGAACCGCAUGGUUCAAAAGUGAAAGACGGUCUUGCGGUCACUUAUCGAUGGAUCCGCGCUGCAUUAGCUAGUUGGUAAGGUAACGGCUUACCAAGGCAACGAUGCAUAGCCGACCUGUGAGGGUGAUCGGCCACACUGGAACUGAGACACGGUCCAGACUCCUACGGGAGGCAGCAGUAGGGAAACUUCCGCAAUGGGCGAAAGCCUGACGGAGCAACGCCGCGUGAGUGAUGAAGGUCUUCGGAUCGUAAAACUCUGUUAUUAGGGAAGAACAUAUGUGUAAGUAACUGUGCACAUCUUGACGGUACCUAAUCAGAAAGCCACGGCUAACUACGUG
This 497-nucleotide ribosomal RNA is filed under the name uncultured bacterium. RNAcentral describes it as "partial 16S ribosomal RNA". It matches the Rfam family "Bacterial small subunit ribosomal RNA", at positions 28 to 507 of the family's 1533-position model. The record is from RNAcentral.